UGGGGAAUAUUGGACAAUGGGGGCAACCCUGAUCCAGCGACGCCGCGUGGGUGAUGAAGGCCUUCGGGUCGUAAAGCCCUGUCGGGGGGGAAGAAACUCCUGCCGGUAAAUAAUCGGCGGGAUUGACGGUACUCCCUAAGGAAGCACCGGCUAACUCCGUGCCAGCAGCCGCGGUAAGACGGAGGGUGCAAGCGUUGUUCGGAAUUACUGGGCGUAAAGGGCGCGUAGGUGGCCCGUUAAGUUCGGUGUGAAAGCCCCUGGCUCAACUGGGGAAGUGCGCCGGAUACUGGCGGGCUAGAGUACCGGAGAGGAGGGUGGAAUUCCUGGUGUAGCGGUGAAAUGCGUAGAUAUCAGGAGGAACACCGGUGGCGAAGGCGGCCCUCUGGACGAGUACUGACACUGAGGCGCGACAGCGUGGGGAUCAAACAGG
RNAcentral lists this ribosomal RNA (430 nucleotides) under uncultured bacterium. RNAcentral's name for it is "bacterial SSU rRNA". It matches the Rfam family "Bacterial small subunit ribosomal RNA", at positions 355 to 776 of the family's 1533-position model. The record is from RNAcentral.